CGCGUAGGUGGUAGUGCAAGUCUGAGGUGGAAUCCUAUGGCUUAACCAUAGAACUGCCUUGGAAACUGCAUUACUUGAGUCAGUGAGGGGAGGGUAGAAUUCCUGGUGUAGCGGUGAAAUGCGUAGAUAUCAGGAGGAGGGCCGGUGGCGAAGGCGGCCCUCUGGCGCUGAACUGACACUGAGGCGCGAAAGCGUGGGGAGCAAACAGGAUUAGAUACCCUGGUAGUCCACGCCCUAAACGGUGGGUACUAGGUGUAGGGCUCGUAAGGGUUCUGUGCCGAAGCGAAAGCAUUAAGUACCCCGCCUGGGGAGUACGGCCGCAAGGUUGAA
RNAcentral lists this ribosomal RNA (330 nucleotides) under uncultured bacterium. Its description in RNAcentral is "bacterial SSU rRNA". It matches the Rfam family "Bacterial small subunit ribosomal RNA", at positions 568 to 898 of the family's 1533-position model. The record is from RNAcentral.